UCAAUUCUAUUGUUUAAGCCAUUUUCUCUGCUUGGGAAGACUUGUCACUGUCAUCUGUCAGGCAAAGUCCACUCAUCCCUUAUGACCUAAUACAAAUGAUGCUUCUUCUGUGAAGCCUUCCCUGCCCUCCCCAGGGAGAUAAUCACUCUCCUCUCUGCUUUCACAUGUAUUAUGGCAUGUCUCUUUAUAUGUUGGUCUCUCCCAAAUGUCUUAGAAGAUUCGUGGGGCAAUCUGAUUGAGGAAGAGGUAUCCUAGAAACAUCUACUGAUGAACAAAAAUAUCAGAAGUACGGAAUUUGGACUGUCUGAACCGUAAACAAACAAACAAACAAAAAGGCAGAAAUCUACUCUUAGAACACAUGAUACUAAGCACCUUACUGCAAGAGUGUAAAGAAAUAAAAGAGGACAAGAAAAGAUGUUUUCCCAUCCCUGACAUUUUCUGGUCCAGCAAGGACAAGCUGAAAAGCUGAUUAACAAGCUUCCCAGGAGACAGAUUCAACUGGCAUCUAGGGAUGAGAGGGCUUAUCUUCUUAUUUUUGGUUAAGGUGCUUUGCACACCUCUACAUGGAACACGCUCCCCCAUCUCUCCAUUGGGACAACUCUUACUCUUCCCUGAUGUUCAUCUUAAAUGUCACUGCCUCAGAAAAGCUUCACCUGUUCUUUCAACCUAAAAUGCAGACAACCAAAGAGGUUUGAGAAAAUCUGCUGAUGCCCACCCAGCAUCCGGUUAAGCAGACAAGGUAUAGUAAACAAACCAACAGGAACAGGAAGAGAGUAGCUACCUCAGAAUAUAGAUAUAAAUCAAUAUCUUCACAAAGUCACUCUUCCUUUCAAAAGCUUCAAAACAAGAACUUCUUCUCAUCUAUUUUAUUUAUCUCAUUUGUGCCCUACUUAAUAGAUAUUGAUUUGAUAGGCAUGUGCCAUUUAAAUAGAAAAUAUAAAAUGAAUAUUCUAAUUGUAAUUGAAGAAUGCCAACUUAAUCCAGAAGUUCCCUGUGUAUAAAAGACCUUCCAAAAAUUGUCUGUAUCCCUUCCUUCUCUCUCACUGUCUGGGGAGAACCUGAUUCUGGGGCAGAAGCCAUGCAGCCCAAGAGGACACAUGCCGCUGAAAUGGUUCUCUGGAAUCUACCACUGGCCAGAUGUCUCAGGUCCUGAGAAAACUCAAACACCAUCUAAAAGUUUCCACUGGAUGACUGAGACCAUUAAAUUUUCUUUUGAGAAAUAUG
Leopardus geoffroyi (Geoffroy's cat) is the source of this 1224-nucleotide long non-coding RNA. RefSeq lists it as uncharacterized. The record is from RefSeq and is a predicted model, not a curated record. NCBI's taxonomy places the organism in Eukaryota, Metazoa, Chordata, Mammalia, Carnivora, Felidae. The transcript has 8 exons.